UGGACGCAAGUCUGAUGGAGCACGCCGCGUGAGUGAAGAAGGCUUUCGGGUCGUAAAACUCUGUUGUUGGAGAAGAAUGGUCGGCAGAGUAACUGUUGUCGGCGUGACGGUAUCCAACCAGAAAGCCACGGCUAACUACGUGCCAGCAGCCGCCGGUAAUACGUAGGUGGCAAGCGUUAUCCGGAUUUAUUGGGCGUAAAGCGAGCGCAGGCGGUUUUUUAAGUCUGAUGUGAAAGCCCUCGGCUUAACCGAGGAAGUGCAUCGGAAACUGGGAAACUUGAGUGCAGAAGAGGACAGUGGAACUCCAUGUGUAGCGGUGAAAUGCGUAGAUAUAUGGAAGAACACCAGUGGCGAAGGCGGCUGUCUGGUCUGUAACUGACGCUGAGGCUCGAAAGCAUGGGUAGCGAACAGGAUUAGAUACCCUGGUAGUCCAUGCCGUAAACGAUGAAUGCUAGGUGUUGGAGGGUUUCCGCCCUUCAGUGCUGCAGCUAACGCAUUAAGCAUUCCGCCUGGGGAGUACGACCGCAAGGUUGAAACUCAAAGGAAUUGACGGGGGCCCGCACAAGCGGUGGAGCAUGUGGUUUAAUUCGAAGCAACGCGAGGAACCUUACCAGGUCUUGACAUCUUUUGAUCACCUGAGAGAUCAGGUUUCCCCUUCGGG
Molecule: ribosomal RNA, 661 nt
Filed under: Lacticaseibacillus rhamnosus
Lineage: Bacteria; Bacillati; Bacillota; Bacilli; Lactobacillales; Lactobacillaceae
Description: bacterial SSU rRNA
Rfam family: Bacterial small subunit ribosomal RNA
Source: RNAcentral